GGAGGUUGGCGACGGACGAGUUCCUCGCUAACCCGGUCAGGUCUGGAAGGAAGCAGCCGUAACGAGUCUUUCUCGGGUCGUCAGUCCAGCCUCCCAC
This 97-nucleotide signal recognition particle RNA is filed under the name Alphaproteobacteria bacterium. RNAcentral describes it as "signal recognition particle sRNA small type". It matches the Rfam family "Bacterial small signal recognition particle RNA". Rfam says of the family: The signal recognition particle (SRP) is a universally conserved ribonucleoprotein involved in the co-translational targeting of proteins to membranes. Archaeal SRP consists of a 7S RNA and homologues of the eukaryotic SRP19 and SRP54 proteins. In most bacteria, the SRP consists of a 4.5S RNA and the Ffh protein (a homologue of the eukaryotic SRP54 protein). The record is from RNAcentral. Lineage: Bacteria; Pseudomonadati; Pseudomonadota; Alphaproteobacteria.